UGGGGAAUAUUGCGCAAUGGGCGAAAGCCUGACGCAGCGACGCCGCGUGGAGGAUGAAGGUCUUAGGAUUGUAAACUUCUGUUAAACGGGAAGAAAGACCUGUAGCGAAUAACUGCAGGGGAUGACGGUACCGUUAGAGAAAGCCCCGGCUAACUUCGUGCCAGCAGCCGCGGUAAUACGAAGGGGGCGAGCGUUAUUCGGAAUUAUUGGGCGUAAAGGGCGCGUAGGUGGCCUGUUAAGUUGGUUGUUAAAUUUCAUGGCCUAACCGUGAGCAAGCAGUCAAUACUGAUAGGCUAGAGGAUGGAAGAGAGAAGUGGAAUUCUCGGAGUAGCGGUUAAAUGCGUGGAUCUCGAGAGGAACACCGUUGGCGAAGGCAGCUUCUUGGUCCAUUACUGACACU
Molecule: ribosomal RNA, 400 nt
Filed under: uncultured bacterium
Lineage: Bacteria
Description: bacterial SSU rRNA
Rfam family: Bacterial small subunit ribosomal RNA
Source: RNAcentral